GAUGAACGCUGGCGGCGUGCUUAACACAUGCAAGUCGAACGGAAAGGCCCAAGCUUGCUUGGGUACUCGAGUGGCGAACGGGUGAGUAACACGUGGGUGAUCUGCCCUGCACUUCGGGAUAAGCCUGGGAAACUGGGUCUAACACUGGAUAGGACCACUUCUUGGAUGUUGUGGUGGAAAGUUUUUUCGGUGUGGGAUGAGCUCGCGGCCUAUCAGCUUGUUGGUGGGGUAAUGGCCUACCAAGGCGUCGACGGGUAGCCGGCCUGAGAGGGUGUACGGCCACAUUGGGACUGAGAUACGGCCCAGACUCCUACGGGAGGCAGCAGUGGGGAAUAUUGCACAAUGGGCGCAAGCCUGAUGCAGCGACGCCGCGUGGGGGAUGACGGCCUUCGGGUUGUAAACUCCUUUCGCUAGGGACGAAGCGUUUUGUGACGGUACCUGGAGAAGAAGCACCGGCUAACUACGUG
RNAcentral lists this ribosomal RNA (467 nucleotides) under uncultured bacterium. RNAcentral's name for it is "partial 16S ribosomal RNA". It matches the Rfam family "Bacterial small subunit ribosomal RNA", at positions 28 to 507 of the family's 1533-position model. The record is from RNAcentral.